UACGGAGGGGGCUAGCGUUGCUCGGAAUUACUGGGCGUAAAGCGCACGUAGGCGGAUAUUUAAGUCGGGGGUGAAAUCCCGGGGCUCAACCCCGGAACUGCCUUCGAUACUGGGUAUCUUGAGUUCGGAAGAGGUGAGUGGAAUUGCGAGUGUAGAGGUGAAAUUCGUAGAUAUUCGCAGGAACACCAGUGGCGAAGGCGGCUCACUGGUCCGAUACUGACGCUGAGGUGCGAAAGCGUGGGGAGCAAACAGG
This 253-nucleotide ribosomal RNA is filed under the name uncultured bacterium. Its description in RNAcentral is "partial 16S ribosomal RNA". It matches the Rfam family "Bacterial small subunit ribosomal RNA", at positions 524 to 776 of the family's 1533-position model. The record is from RNAcentral.